GAAACAAUUUAUAUGUACGCUUUUGGGACAAAAUGUUAGUGAUAUCCUUACAAGCAACCUGAAAAAUCUGGUUUUUGACAAGCUAGGCAAAUCAGAAUCUCAAGCAGAAGCUGUUGAAAGGUUAGGCUUACUUGUGGAUGAACCUGUAGUCAAGGUAACAACACCCUUGGACACAGUAACCCAUUUCCUGGCCAACAAGCUUGCUUUUAGUUAGGCCUUCUAAAGGAUAAGCCUCUUGUCAAGGCUGGAACUCCUUUGGACACAAUGACAAAUUACCUGUCAACGGCUCUUA
This is a long non-coding RNA of Limulus polyphemus (Atlantic horseshoe crab), 292 nucleotides long. RefSeq lists it as uncharacterized. Lineage: Eukaryota; Metazoa; Arthropoda; Merostomata; Xiphosura; Limulidae. The record is from RefSeq and is a predicted model, not a curated record. The transcript is spliced from 3 exons.